UGCCAGCAGCCCCGGUAAUACGCAGGCAGCGUCCGUCAAUCGGAAUUACUGGGCGUAAAGCGCGCGUAGGCGGCUUUGUCAGUCGGAUGUGAAAGCCCUGGGCUUAACCUGGGAAUGGCAUUCGAUACUGCAGAGCUAGAGUAUGGUAGAGGGAAGUGGAAUUUCCGGUGUAGCGGUGAAAUGCGUAGAUAUCGGAAGGAACACCAGUGGCGAAGGCGACUUCCUGGGCCAAUACUGACGCUGAGGUGCGAAAGCGUGGGGAGCAAACAGGAUUAGAUA
RNAcentral lists this ribosomal RNA (279 nucleotides) under uncultured bacterium. RNAcentral's name for it is "partial 16S ribosomal RNA". It matches the Rfam family "Bacterial small subunit ribosomal RNA", at positions 506 to 784 of the family's 1533-position model. The record is from RNAcentral.